GCCUAACACAUGCAAGUCGAGCGGAAACGAGUUAUCUGAACCUUCGGGGGACGAUAACGGCGUCGAGCGGCGGACGGGUGAGUAAUGCCUAGGAAAUUGCCCUGAUGUGGGGGAUAACCAUUGGAAACGAUGGCUAAUACCGCAUGAUGCCUACGGGCCAAAGAGGGGGACCUUCGGGCCUCUCGCGUCAGGAUAUGCCUAGGUGGGAUUAGCUAGUUGGUGAGGUAAGGGCUCACCAAGGCGACGAUCCCUAGCUGGUCUGAGAGGAUGAUCAGCCACACUGGAACUGAGACACGGUCCAGACUCCUACGGGAGGCAGCAGUGGGGAAUAUUGCACAAUGGGCGCAAGCCUGAUGCAGCCAUGCCGCGUGUGUGAAGAAGGCCUUCGGGUUGUAAAGCACUUUCAGUCGUGAGGAAGGUGGUGUAGUUAAUAGCUGCAUUAUUUGACGUUAGCGACAGAAGAAGCACCGGCUAACUCCGUGCCAGCAGCCGCGGUAAUACGGAGGGUGCGAGCGUUAAUCGGAAUUACUGGGCGUAAAGCGCAUGCAGGUGGUUUGUUAAGUCAGAUGUGAAAGCCCGGGGCUCAACCUCGGAAUAGCAUUUGAAACUGGCAGACUAGAGUACUGUAGAGGGGGGUAGAAUUUCAGGUGUAGCGGUGAAAUGCGUAGAGAUCUGAAGGAAUACCGGUGGCGAAGGCGGCCCCCUGGACAGAUACUGACACUCAGAUGCGAAAGCGUGGGGAGCAAACAGGAUUAGAUACCCUGGUAGUCCACGCCGUAAACGAUGUCUACUUGGAGGUUGUGGCCUUGAGCCGUGGCUUUCGGAGCUAACGCGUUAAGUAGACCGCCUGGGGAGUACGGUCGCAAGAUUAAAACUCAAAUGAAUUGACGGGGGCCCGCACAAGCGGUGGAGCAUGUGGUUUAAUUCGAUGCAACGCGAAGA
Molecule: ribosomal RNA, 942 nt
Filed under: Vibrio alginolyticus
Lineage: Bacteria; Pseudomonadati; Pseudomonadota; Gammaproteobacteria; Vibrionales; Vibrionaceae
Description: bacterial SSU rRNA
Rfam family: Bacterial small subunit ribosomal RNA
Source: RNAcentral